RNAcentral lists this ribosomal RNA (18 nucleotides) under Oudemansiella venosolamellata. RNAcentral describes it as "partial 18S ribosomal RNA". The record is from RNAcentral. Lineage: Eukaryota; Fungi; Basidiomycota; Agaricomycetes; Agaricales; Physalacriaceae.
UUGGAGGAUCCUAUUGAA